This 3091-nucleotide long non-coding RNA is filed under the name Homo sapiens (human). RNAcentral's name for it is "long independently transcribed non-coding RNA 992 (LINC00992)". Lineage: Eukaryota; Metazoa; Chordata; Mammalia; Primates; Hominidae. The record is from RNAcentral.
AGCAUCUCUGCCAACUCUAGAGAGUUUAGAUAUCUACUUAUUUAUAUCUACAUCUAUCUAUAUUUAUAUUAAACAAAAGUGACAGGACAUGGUAAUAGAUGCAAUGUAUAGGUGAAUUAGAGAGAGGUAUCAAGCUUGACUCCCAGGUUUCUGAUAGAAUGGCUGAAUUGAUGGCAAUACCUUUCACUGAGAGGAAACAUUGGCAGAAAACCAGUUUUGAAUGAAGAGGAUGCUUCCUUUUCCUUCUGACAUGAGUGGAACCAGCCAUAGGCCCUCAUCAGAGGCAGAUGCUGGCACUUUGCUUCUCGUACAGCCUGCAGAAUGUUAAUACUCUUGGAUAAUGUAUUUAAGGAUGCUUAAGUUCAUCAUGGGUCCUCUGGAAAUCUCCUACCUUUGUGAGCAAAGAUUACUGCAGGGUGGAAGACAGGUCCAUGAUUGCCCAGGCUGCAGUGCAAGAAGUAUGAUGGCACCAUAUCUCAUCUUGCACCUCAAUGAUCAUCUAACAAGAAUCCUUCUGCAGAUCCCAUCUAAAAUUACAUUUCCAGGCAUUCCACAUAACCGGAGGAAAAAAAACAUGGAUCCUAUGGAAAGUAUUUGAAGAGUUUCAAAAAUAAGAAGAAAAAUAGCAGAACAGUAUGAGAAGACAGAUGGCUCAGCUGAUGACAAAAUCCAUUUGACUUUUACCACAUUGGGAGAUGGAGAGCUUGAUUAAUAGUUGGUCAGCCAAUGAGACAAUUUAACAAGAAAAGCUACUUGGCAAAAUAUGUCUUAACCAGAUACAGCUAUGUUAUAACUGUUAUAACUUAAAUGUUUCUUGUGGAAUCACCAUUUUGCAUCAGACCUCUUAAAUAUGCCUGUUUGAAUAAGCUCAAACCAACAUAAAACUGUUUCUAGCAUUAAGUCCACAACGUAAGCCAAUAUCAAUCUAUUUUAACUGCAUCUACUGAUUAGGUAAAAAAGAAAAUGCCAUUGAAAACUUCUUAGUGCCUUUCCCUGAAUGGCACUAUAAUCUAUUACAAUUACCAAAGAGAAAAAAGAUCAAAGAACGCCUGCCUAUACAAAUUAUUCUUAGAAUACUAGAACUUCAGAGUUGGAAAGAGCCUGAAACUUCUUCUAGCCAAUUACCUUUAUUUUACAACUGAAAUUAAUGAGGCGCAGACACAUGAAGUGACUUUGCUGAGACCACACAGACUUGGAGGAAAAACUAUGUGAGAACAUGAAUUUCUGGUCUUCUAAUUCAAUAUGCACUAUCUUUUUUUUUUUUCCAUUUUUUACUAUAUGCAUAGUCAGUUAUCUUAGAAAUGUUGUUAGGAUUAUUAUGGCUUCUUUUUUAAAGUUGGAGAGGACAUUGCCCAUUAAAUUACAUGUGCCUGUGCUUCAGAGUUAUCCAAGAUCGGAAAUUGUAUAUCUCAAAAUAAACAUGUGAAUAGCAUUUUUAAAAUGCUGUUUAAUAGAACAUAUCUCUUGUAAAAGCCUGGGGAUAACAUGAUAAUAUCUGUUAAUUUUAACUAGAUUAAUUUCUUUUUUUUUUUUUUUUUUGAGACGGAGCAUUGCUCUAUCGCCCAGGCUGUAGUGCAGUGGAAUGAUCUCGGCUCAUCUGGGCUCACUGCAAGCUCCACCUCCAGGGUUGACGCCAUUCUCCUACCUCAGCCUCCUGAGUAGCUAGGACUACAGGCGCCCGCCACCACGCCCAGCUAAUUGUUUGUAUUUUUUAGUAGAGACGGGGUUUCACCAUGUUAGCCAGGAUGGUCUCCAUCUCCUGACUUCGUGAUCCACCCGCCUCGGCCUCCCAAAGUGCUGGGAUUACAGGCGUGAGCCACCGCACCCGGCCUUAACUGGAUUAAUUUCUAAAUAAUAAUUUGGAAGGGGGGAUAAUUUUUAUAUCAUUGAUUUACUUGUUAUUAUUGACCAGAUUUUUGGUAACCUUUAGUUUUGUGAACCCAUCAUAAUAUUAUAAGGAAAAUAGCCAAGAGGAGCAAUGACUUUAGAGCAGAUGACCCCUUGAGCUAAACCUUUCAAGGGAAAUAAAUCACAAAAAAAAUUAUAGCAACUUUAGCUUCAACUUGAGAAUACAUGCUCAAAAUAUUAUGGCUGUGGUUAUUACACAAUGAUAUAUUAUGUGAGUGAUUUCCUAGGGAACCUUCUCUUCAUCUUGUUAUUAUUUUUUGACCAUACUGGUUUAUUUAUACAAUUUUAUACUAGAUGCUUCUCUCAUUUCCUUGAUAACACAGCUGCACACACACACACACAAAUGUCUGUCUAUUGCUGAACAAUGUUAAGUAAUAUAAUUUGACACAUGUACAUUGCAAAUCAAUAAAUGUGACAUUUUCUUUUCCUGGUACAUUCUGUAUAACUUAUAACACAGCUUCGGGUAUAUGAUAUGCCAAGUCAUAUCUUCUGUAUUAUAUCAACUGAAUAAAGGAAAAGGCUGAUAUAAUUUAAUUUCUUAGGGUAGAUUACUUUUGUCUCCACUUAAAAACUGCCUCUCAUGUUUUGAAUUAAAAGUUGUUUGUCAAAUUGGAUAUACCAAAUCAUUGCAUUCCUAGCUGUCUAUAUUAAAGACAUUUAAACAUUGUAUAUAUAAUUACUACAUAUACAUUAAUAAUAUAUAAUGUAUGUAUACACAUCAUAUAUAUAAUUAAUAUGAGAGAAACCGUUGAUCAUCUUUUUAUAGUCCCUAGACUGUGACAAAAAAUGUUAAAUAUAUAUUUUCUGAGUGUAUAUCUAAUAGUCACAUGAAUGUGACAUACUCCAUAAGUCAUCAAAUGAUAGUAUUGUUUUGUGAUUUUUUACUGUAUGUAAAGUUAUCACUUCCAAAAAAAUCUGCAUAAUAUUAUUGAAUUCUAGUUGAUCCAAUGCAUGCAGAAAUAUUUGGAGGUAAAUUGUACUAAUUUAAGCAAACUUUUUAAAAAUUCAUCAAAGUAAACAUGGAUGUAAAUAUAGACAGAGAGUUGCAUAGACGGAUAUGUGAUAAAGCAAAUAUAACCAAAUAAUAAUGUAGAAUUUAUAAAAUCAGUAAAUGGGUGUUAAUUGCACUAUUAUUUUGAUAUGUCUGUAUAGUUGAAAUUUACAUAAAAAUACUGGAAAAACA